Xenia sp. Carnegie-2017 is the source of this 547-nucleotide long non-coding RNA. RefSeq lists it as uncharacterized. The record is from RefSeq and is a predicted model, not a curated record. Lineage: Eukaryota; Metazoa; Cnidaria; Anthozoa; Malacalcyonacea; Xeniidae. The transcript has 2 exons.
UAACCUGGACGAUCAUCAUUUACAAACAUAUAACGAUACUCCCGGGUUCAAACCAUUUACUUUAAGGUACUUUUCCUCAUAAAAGGAAAAAUACUCCAUCUACACAAACUAAAUCCAAGGACAAACCUAAACACAACACAAUACAUGUUCCUGACUCAACUAACAAAAAGACUUCAUCUCACAGGUGGUGAAUAUACAUACGAUUUAGAUGUUGAUGUAUAGCCAGAGUCAGGAGUAUGGAAAGGAUGGAGAAGAACCAAUACCAAGAUUUCCAAUUAAUCAGGAAGCUUGAAAAGUUAAGGGAUAGUAUGAUUUACCAAUGAAAUCGUUUGGAUUUGAUGAAAUUUUCUUAGGCGUAGUUGGAGUAGGAAGAACACCGUUGAAAAUAGGAAGCACCAUCGCUAUAAUUAUGGGUUUGAAGAUCUUCGUAAAUAAAAGAAAAAAUGUAUACAAUUCGACUCCAAAAUCUUGUAGAAAUGUAGAGGAGAGUACCAGGAACACGUAGAUACCAAAUAUAGAUAAUCCACGAUAGAUUUAAGAGCUAAAA